CUUGCUUCUUYGCUGACGAGUGGCGGACGGGUGAGUAAUGUCUGGGAAACUGCCUGAUGGAGGGGGAUAACUACUGGAAACGGUAGCUAAUACCGCAUAACGUCGCAAGACCAAAGAGGGGGACCUUCGGGCCUCUUGCCAUCGGAUGUGCCCAGAUGGGAUUAGCUAGUAGGUGGGGUAACGGCUCACCUAGGCGACGAUCCCUAGCUGGUCUGAGAGGAUGACCAGCCACACUGGAACUGAGACACGGUCCAGACUCCUACGGGAGGCAGCAGUGGGGAAUAUUGCACAAUGGGCGCAAGCCUGAUGCAGCCAUGCCGCGUGUAUGAAGAAGGCCUUCGGGUUGUAAAGUACUUUCAGCGGGGAGGAAGGGAGUAAAGUUAAUACCUUUGCUCAUUGACGUUACCCGCAGAAGAAGCACCGGCUAACUCCGUGCCAGCAGCCGCGGUAAUACGGAGGGUGCAAGCGUUAAUCGGAAUUACUGGGCGUAAAGCGCACGCAGGCGGUUUGUUAAGUCAGAUGUGAAAUCCCCGGGCUCAACCUGGGAACUGCAUCUGAUACUGGCAAGCUUGAGUCUCGUAGAGGGGGGUAGAAUUCCAGGUGUAGCGGUGAAAUGCGUAGAGAUCUGGAGGAAUACCGGUGGCGAAGGCGGCCCCCUGGACGAAGACUGACGCUCAGGUGCGAAAGCGUGGGGAGCAAACAGGAUUAGAUACCCUGGUAGUCCACGCCGUAAACGAUGUCGACUUGGAGGUUGUGCCCUUGAGGCGUGGCUUCCGGAGCUAACGCGUUAAGUCGACCGCCUGGGGAGUACGGCCGCAAGGUUAAAACUCAAAUGAAUUGACGGGGGCCCGCACAAGCGGUGGAGCAUGUGGUUUAAUUCGAUGCAACGCGAAGAACCUUACCUGGUCUUGACAUCCACGGAAGUUUUCAGAGAUGAGAAUGUGCCUUCGGGAACCGUGAGACAGGUGCUGCAUGGCUGUCGUCAGCUCGUGUUGUGAAAUGUUGGGUUAAGUCCCGCAACGAGCGCAACCCUUAUCCUUUGUUGCCAGCGGUCCGGCCGGGAACUCAAAGGAGACUGCCAGUGAUAAACUGGAGGAA
This 1098-nucleotide ribosomal RNA is filed under the name Escherichia coli. RNAcentral's name for it is "bacterial SSU rRNA". It matches the Rfam family "Bacterial small subunit ribosomal RNA", at positions 75 to 1171 of the family's 1533-position model. Lineage: Bacteria; Pseudomonadati; Pseudomonadota; Gammaproteobacteria; Enterobacterales; Enterobacteriaceae. The record is from RNAcentral.